UACGUAGGGUGCAGGCGUUAAUCGGAAUUACUGGGCGUAAAGCGUGCGUAGGCGGUUUGUUAAGACAGGUGUGAAAUCCCCGGGCUUAACCUGGGAACUGCGCUUGUUACUGGCAGACUGGAGUGUGGCAGAGGGGGGUGGAAUUCCGCGUGUAGCAGUGAAAUGCGUAGAGAUGCGGAGGAACACCGAUGGCGAAGGCAGCCCCCUGGGCUAGCACUGACGCUCAGGCACGAAAGCGUGGGGAGCAAACAGG
Molecule: ribosomal RNA, 253 nt
Filed under: uncultured bacterium
Lineage: Bacteria
Description: partial 16S ribosomal RNA
Rfam family: Bacterial small subunit ribosomal RNA
Source: RNAcentral